GGGUUGUGAGGUUAAGCGACUAAGCGUACACGGUGGAUGCCCUGGCAGUCAGAGGCGAUGAAGGACGUGCUAAUCUGCGAUAAGCGUCGGUAAGGUGAUAUGAACCGUUAUAACCGGCGAUUUCCGAAUGGGGAAACCCAGUGUGUUUCGACACACUAUCAUUAACUGAAUCCAUAGGUUAAUGAGGCGAACCGGGGGAACUGAAACAUCUAAGUACCCCGAGGAAAAGAAAUCAACCGAGAUUCCCCCAGUAGCGGCGAGCGAACGGGGAGCAGCCCAGAGCCUGAAUCAGUGUGUGUGUUAGUGGAAGCGUCUGGAAAGGCGCGCGAUACAGGGUGACAGCCCCGUACACAAAAAUGCACAUACUGUGAGCUCGAUGAGUAGGGCGGGACACGUGGUAUCCUGUCUGAAUAUGGGGGGACCAUCCUCCAAGGCUAAAUACUCCUGACUGACCGAUAGUGAACCAGUACCGUGAGGGAAAGGCGAAAAGAACCCCGGCGAGGGGAGUGAAAAAGAACCUGA
This 522-nucleotide ribosomal RNA is filed under the name Escherichia coli. RNAcentral describes it as "partial 23S ribosomal RNA". It matches the Rfam family "Bacterial large subunit ribosomal RNA", at positions 1 to 553 of the family's 2925-position model. The record is from RNAcentral. Lineage: Bacteria; Pseudomonadati; Pseudomonadota; Gammaproteobacteria; Enterobacterales; Enterobacteriaceae.